Long non-coding RNA from Prionailurus viverrinus (fishing cat), 609 nucleotides. RefSeq lists it as uncharacterized. The record is from RefSeq and is a predicted model, not a curated record. Lineage: Eukaryota; Metazoa; Chordata; Mammalia; Carnivora; Felidae. The transcript is spliced from 3 exons.
CCUGAACCAAGAUCAAAAGUCAGACACUCAACCGACUGAGUCACCCAGCCCCCAGCCACCCUGAAAUCGCCGAGUGUGUUGCCUGGCUCCGCUCCUCUUCUGGGCCCCCUCCGCCAACCCCCAAGUGACCUGAUGGUGGUCCGAAGUCCCCUCUGAGUAACCCUGCCCCCAGCACUUCCCACCUGAGCUUUCACACUGGAUGGCCUCACAGCACUUGUAGGAGGGAGGCGCACCACACCAGAGCAAGAUUCAGGAUGCCUCAAGCUGACACUUGACUCCGGUGGCUUCCACGGCACCUCGGACGUCACAAGUGCAAACUGACCUCGCUCGGUCACCCACAAACUUACUUCUCUUCCACUCUGGUCUUGGCAUCUUCGACAUCUCCCUCUCCCUCUUCUUCUGCAUCCACUCCACCCCAACACCACUGUGCCUGGACCGUUGCUGGAGCUUCCUCCUGCCUCCCUGAAGCCACCCUGACUGGCCAGCCACUCCUUACCAUCCUAAAAUGAAGGUAGGACACUAUUCUUGUUCUUAAAACCUUCAAUGGCUAUUAUUACUUUUAGGAAAAAGGCCAACAUUCUUUUUGUGGUCUGGCAGCCAUGUGCCCAU